Molecule: ribosomal RNA, 571 nt
Filed under: Microbacterium sp.
Lineage: Bacteria; Bacillati; Actinomycetota; Actinomycetes; Micrococcales; Microbacteriaceae
Description: bacterial SSU rRNA
Rfam family: Bacterial small subunit ribosomal RNA
Source: RNAcentral
UCUGUGGGAUCAGUGGCGAACGGGUGAGUAACACGUGAGCAACCUGCCCCUGACUCUGGGAUAAGCGCUGGAAACGGCGUCUAAUACUGGAUAUGUGACGUGACCGCAUGGUCUGCGUCUGGAAAGAAUUUCGGUUGGGGAUGGGCUCGCGGCCUAUCAGCUUGUUGGUGAGGUAAUGGCUCACCAAGGCGUCGACGGGUAGCCGGCCUGAGAGGGUGACCGGCCACACUGGGACUGAGACACGGCCCAGACUCCUACGGGAGGCAGCAGUGGGGAAUAUUGCACAAUGGGCGCAAGCCUGAUGCAGCAACGCCGCGUGAGGGACGACGGCCUUCGGGUUGUAAACCUCUUUUAGCAGGGAAGAAGCGAAAGUGACGGUACCUGCAGAAAAAGCGCCGGCUAACUACGUGCCAGCAGCCGCGGUAAUACGUAGGGCGCAAGCGUUAUCCGGAAUUAUUGGGCGUAAAGAGCUCGUAGGCGGUUUGUCGCGUCUGCUGUGAAAUCCGGAGGCUCAACCUCCGGCCUGCAGUGGGUACGGGCAGACUAGAGUGCGGUAGGGGAGAUUGGAAUU